AUGGCUUCAUCAAGUAUCUUUCCAUCCUCUCAAGCUUGUGUUCUAUUCCUCCAUGUUUCAGCCGGAGUGCUGCCUAAGUCCUUUCCGUCUUAUUGGUUUCUUAUCUCGUUCUAA
RNAcentral lists this ribosomal RNA (114 nucleotides) under Triticum aestivum (bread wheat). Its description in RNAcentral is "partial small subunit ribosomal RNA". The record is from RNAcentral. Lineage: Eukaryota; Viridiplantae; Streptophyta; Magnoliopsida; Poales; Poaceae.